Molecule: ribosomal RNA, 709 nt
Filed under: uncultured bacterium
Lineage: Bacteria
Description: bacterial SSU rRNA
Rfam family: Bacterial small subunit ribosomal RNA
Source: RNAcentral
GUCGACGGCAGCACGGGAGCAAUCCUGGUGGCGAGUGGCGAACGGGUGAGUAAUAUAUCGGAACGUGCCCAGUCGUGGGGGAUAACGUAGAGAAAUUUACGCUAAUACCGCAUACGAUCUAAGGAUGAAAGCGGGGGACCGUAAGGCCUCGCGCGAUUGGAGCGGCUGAUAUCAGAUUAGGUUGUUGGUGAGGUAAAAGCUCACCAAGCCGACGAUCUGUAGCUGGUUUGAGAGAACGACCAGCCACACUGGGACUGAGACACGGCCCAGACUCCUACGGGAGGCAGCAGUGGGGAAUUUUGGACAAUGGGCGAAAGCCUGAUCCAGCAAUGCCGCGUGCAGGAAGAAGGCCUUCGGGUUGUAAACUGCUUUUGUACGGAACGAAAAGGUCUGCCCUAAUACGGCGGGCCCAUGACGGUACCGUAAGAAUAAGCACCGGCUAACUACGUGCCAGCAGCCGCGGUAAUACGUAGGGUGCGAGCGUUAAUCGGAAUUACUGGGCGUAAAGCGUGCGCAGGCGGUGAUGUAAGACAGUUGUGAAAUCCCCGGGCUCAACCUGGGAAUUGCAUCUGUGACUGCAUCGCUAGAGUACGGUAGAGGGGGAUGGAAUUCCGCGUGUAGCAGUGAAAUGCGUAGAUAUGCGGAGGAACACCGAUGGCGAAGGCAAUCCCCUGGACCUGUACUGACGCUCAUGCACGAAAGCGUGGGG